Molecule: microRNA precursor, 60 nt
Filed under: Monodelphis domestica (gray short-tailed opossum)
Lineage: Eukaryota; Metazoa; Chordata; Mammalia; Didelphimorphia; Didelphidae
Description: microRNA mdo-mir-12382 precursor
Source: miRBase by way of RNAcentral
CCGUCGUCUGUUCGGAUGAGUUCAGGUUAUUGUAAAGUGAACUCCCUGCAGAAGAUGCCC